Molecule: transfer RNA, 73 nt
Filed under: Bos taurus (domestic cattle)
Lineage: Eukaryota; Metazoa; Chordata; Mammalia; Artiodactyla; Bovidae
Also listed under: 2 other names
Rfam family: tRNA
About the family: Transfer RNA (tRNA) molecules are approximately 80 nucleotides in length. Their secondary structure includes four short double-helical elements and three loops (D, anti-codon, and T loops).
Source: Rfam by way of RNAcentral
UCUCUGGUGGUCCAAUGGCUAAGACUCUACUCUUGCAAUGGAGGGGGCCCAGGUUCAAUCCCUGGUCGGUGAA